This 450-nucleotide ribosomal RNA is filed under the name uncultured bacterium. Its description in RNAcentral is "bacterial SSU rRNA". It matches the Rfam family "Bacterial small subunit ribosomal RNA", at positions 29 to 526 of the family's 1533-position model. The record is from RNAcentral.
AACGAACGCUGGCGGCAGGCCUAACACAUGCAAGUCGAACGCAUCGCAAGAUGAGUGGCAGACGGGUGAGUAACGCGUGGGAAUUUUCCUCUCGGUACGGAAUAGCUCAGGGAAACUUGAGGUAAUACCGUAUACGUCCGCAAGGAGAAAGAUUUAUCGCCGAGAGAUAAGCCCGCGUCUGAUUAGCUAGUUGGUGAGGUAACGGCUCACCAAGGCGACGAUCAGUAGCUGGUCUGAGAGGAUGACCAGCCACACUGGGACUGAGACACGGCCCAGACUCCUACGGGAGGCAGCAGUGGGGAAUCUUGGACAAUGGGCGAAAGCCUGAUCCAGCCAUGCCGCGUGAGUGAAGAAGGUCUUCGGAUUGUAAAGCUCUUUUGGCGGGGACGAUAAUGACGGUACCCGCAGAAUAAGCCCCGGCUAACUUCGUGCCAGCCGCCGCAGUAACAC